Molecule: long non-coding RNA, 944 nt
Organism: Capsicum annuum
Lineage: Eukaryota; Viridiplantae; Streptophyta; Magnoliopsida; Solanales; Solanaceae
Exons: 2
Source: RefSeq, a predicted model, not a curated record
UAUGUCAAUGUCUCUCGAAACAUCAUCGAAAAUAUGAAACUCCUAUGGAAAUGCUUUCGUUGAGUCAAUUUUAUGCAGUUUUUCCUCGAACUUUUAGAUUCGGAGAUAUGACCUGAGAACAUGACCGUUGAUAGGACGGUGAAGGUCUAAGUAUUUAGAGUAUAAGGUUUGUAGGUUGGCAAGCAUAUUUCUUUUCCAUACUAGAAGUACUACUACUACUAUUAUUUUUUAGGUCCUUAUACUUUUGGCUUCGUUUAUCUUAUUAUCUUGUUCAUGUUACUGUCUGUUAUUACAACUUUUUUUUUUGCAUCUAUGUUCGACUUGAGGGUCUAUCGGAAUCAGUCUCUCUACCAUCACAAAGUAGGGAUAAUAUUUGUAUACAUGCUAUUCUUCCCAGAUCCCACUUAUAAUAUAAGAUUGUACUGCAUAUCAGAUUCUAAUUUAUUUUUUCUAAUUAAAGUGAUGAUGGGAACAAAACUUAUAUACCAACUACAUGGCAAAUUGUGUUUGAUCUUCAACAAGUGAAGGAUUCAUCAAAUUAUACACUUGAACUAGCAUUAGCCUCAGCAAAUGAAGCUGAAUUACAAAUUCAAAUAAACGAUCAAUAUGCAGACGUUCCUCAUUUUUCAACAGGAUCGAUAGGCAGGGAUAACAUGAUUGCAAGACAUGGAAUUCAUGGAUUAUAUCGGAUGUAUACUGUAGAUAUACCGAGCAAUUUUCUCGCGAGCGGUACUAAUGUUAUAUUUCUUAAGCAAAGUAGAGGUUCGAGCCAUUGGAGUGGAGUCAUGUAUGAUUAUAUUCGUCUUGAAGGACCCCCUUCGAACGAUUAAAUAAUUUAAUAUGGUGGAUUAUUGCAAAUUAAAAGGAAUAUAAGUACAAUUAUAAGUUUGAUUUUGCAUAGUCUUUGAAUGAUUAAAUAAUCGAAUAUGGUGGAUUGUUGCAAA